This 828-nucleotide ribosomal RNA is filed under the name Triticum aestivum (bread wheat). RNAcentral describes it as "partial small subunit ribosomal RNA". Lineage: Eukaryota; Viridiplantae; Streptophyta; Magnoliopsida; Poales; Poaceae. The record is from RNAcentral.
AUGAGCGGCGGCGUCAGCGGCGUGGAGUCGUCCUCCUCCUCGGGGAGUUGUGGUGCGGCGGGGGUGGCGCCGUUCGUGGCCAAGACUUACGGGAUGAUGGACGACCGGGCCACCGACGGCGUCGUCGCGUGGGGGCCCGCCGGCAACAGCUUCGUCGUCGCCGACCCCUUCGCCUUCUCGGAGAUGCUGCUGCCCGCGCACUUCAAGCACGCCAACUUCUCCAGCUUCGUCCGGCAGCUCAACACCUACGGCUUCCGCAAGGUGGACCCGGACCGGUGGGAGUUCGCGCACGCCUCCUUCCUCCGCGGCCAGACCCACCUCCUGCGCCGCAUCGUCCGGCGCCAGAGCAGCAAGCGCGGCAAGGAUAGCAAGGAGGAGGAGGACGACGACGGCAGCAGCAGCGCGACGGCGCUGGCCAUGGAGGUGGUGCGGCUGAGGAAUGAGCAGAGGGCCGCGGAGGAGCGCGUGGCGGCCAUGUGGCGCCGGGUGCAGGAGACGGAGCGCCGGCCCAAGCAGAUGCUCGCCUUCCUGCUCAAGGUCGUCGGCGACCCCGACGUGCUGCGCCGCCUUGCGGGCGAGGGUGCGGGCGCGGGGGACAAGAGGCCGCGGCUGCUUCUGGACGGCAGACAAGAGCAGAGGAUGUCCGUCGACGGCGCGGGGGUGGGGGUGGUCGGGCUGUCGUACCACAAUCACAGCAACCUGAACCUGGAGGAGGCCUAUGUGCUGGAGCCCGGCGUGGACUUGUACUGCGCCGGAGGCGACGCGCAGGCGGACGGCGGCGGCGGCGGACACCCGCCGUACGCGUUCCACGUCGACAGCGGUUACUGA